GGUUAAGCGACUAAGCGUACACGGUGGAUGCCUAGGCAGUCAGAGGCGAUGAAGGGCGUGCUAAUCUGCGAAAAGCGUCGGUAAGGUGAUAUGAACCGUUAUAACCGACGAUACCCGAAUGGGGAAACCCAGUGCAAUUCGUUGCACUAUUGCAUGGUGAAUACAUAGCCAUGCAAGGCGAACCGGGGGAACUGAAACAUCUAAGUACCCCGAGGAAAAGAAAUCAACCGAGAUUCCCCCAGUAGCGGCGAGCGAACGGGGAG
This 263-nucleotide ribosomal RNA is filed under the name Yersinia enterocolitica. RNAcentral's name for it is "partial 23S ribosomal RNA". It matches the Rfam family "Bacterial large subunit ribosomal RNA", at positions 1 to 264 of the family's 2925-position model. Lineage: Bacteria; Pseudomonadati; Pseudomonadota; Gammaproteobacteria; Enterobacterales; Yersiniaceae. The record is from RNAcentral.